This 207-nucleotide ribosomal RNA is filed under the name uncultured bacterium. RNAcentral describes it as "partial 16S ribosomal RNA". It matches the Rfam family "Bacterial small subunit ribosomal RNA", at positions 568 to 774 of the family's 1533-position model. The record is from RNAcentral.
UCUGCAGGUUGAUAUUUAAGUCUUUUGUUAAACCUCCGGGCUCAACCCGGAAUCUGCAAAGGAAACUAUUUAUCUUGAGUAUGGUAGGGGUAAAGGGAAUUUCCAGUGGAGCGGUGAAAUGCGUAGAUAUUGGAAAGAACACCAGUGGCGAAGGCGGCUUACUGGUCCAUUACUGACGCUGAGGUGCGAAAGCGUGGGGAGCAAACA